GCUCGGCUGGCGAAAUCGGUAAACGCUGCGGACUUAAAAUCCGCUGGGCUCUGCCCUUGGAGGUUCGAGUCCUCCGCCGAGCA
Molecule: transfer RNA, 83 nt
Filed under: Gemmatimonadota bacterium
Lineage: Bacteria; Pseudomonadati; Gemmatimonadota
Also listed under: 2 other names
Description: Gemmatimonadetes bacterium tRNA-Leu
Rfam family: tRNA
About the family: Transfer RNA (tRNA) molecules are approximately 80 nucleotides in length. Their secondary structure includes four short double-helical elements and three loops (D, anti-codon, and T loops). Further hydrogen bonds mediate the characteristic L-shaped molecular structure. tRNAs have two regions of fundamental functional importance: the anti-codon, which is responsible for specific mRNA codon recognition, and the 3' end, to which the tRNAs corresponding amino acid is attached (by aminoacyl-tRNA synthetases). tRNAs cope with the degeneracy of the genetic code in two manners: having more than one tRNA (with a specific anti-codon) for a particular amino acid; and 'wobble' base-pairing, i.e. permitting non-standard base-pairing at the 3rd anti-codon position.
Source: RNAcentral